Long non-coding RNA from Neofelis nebulosa (Clouded leopard), 989 nucleotides. RefSeq lists it as uncharacterized. The transcript is spliced from 3 exons. Lineage: Eukaryota; Metazoa; Chordata; Mammalia; Carnivora; Felidae. The record is from RefSeq and is a predicted model, not a curated record.
GAAGGAGCCAGAAGACUUCCCAGGAAGCAGAGCCUGCCGUUGUCUUGAGAGACAAGGCUGCUACCAAGGAGUUAACUCACUGUCGUUCACCGCUCUUUCACAAUCUCCAGAAGUGCUAGCGGAAUGAGAACGUUCCCAUGAUAGAGAUGGCAGAAGAGGGGAAGAGAGAAGGAACAAGGGGCUUAGAUAACUCAUAAAUGAGUCAUCAGCCCAUAAACAAGAAAGAGUCAGCAAUAUGACCAUGCCUGCUGAAAUAAAGGAGCAAAAAGAGCUCUCAAUUUUGAGAAGGUGUCCCUAAGAAUUGAGGCAGUGUGGUAAUUUAAACAGUAGCUCUGGAACCCCCUGCAAGCACGCUGGUAUACCUCAGUAAGUCUUUGUUGAUGGAUGAGCUUGGCUAUGAAGAAAGCUGCUUAGGAGUUACCAUCUCCACAACAGGCAAAGUAAUUGAGGAUCUGCCUACAAGCAUGCCUCCUAGGGCAGAGGAAGAAGGCGUAAAACUAGAUACCGGAAGAAGAGCCCGCCGUUGCCUAGAAUGAAGAAUGGGAAGAAUUUAACCUACUUUUCAACAUGAAGCCUUCACUCAUUCUUGGCCUUCUCUUUGUCGUCUGUCUCGACUUCUCUGUCCUAAGGUCUAAGUCCCCAGUGGACCUACCAGGAAGAGGGGGCCACUGCCUUAUUCCAUCUAAAUGCCUCUGUCAGAGCCCACCGCAAAUUUUACCUUCUCCACGAAACCUUCCUGCCGAAUUUGACUCUCGCUGCUCUCAACUGUUAGGGUGUUUAUUGCUGGUGCAUUAAGUUCAGAGCUUUGUAAUUUAGAUGCCGUGCGUGGCUAUGUCUCUGGCACUGGAUUUGUCUCAACUCUUCUCCCACCCCCACAGUGUCCAGGCCAACGGCACAUUCCAGUUACCCAUUUGCUGAACAAAUGUUUAUCGAUCAUCCAUGUGUGCCUUGUAUCAUAUUCCAUUAUGAGAGUAAAAAGCGGAAAAAGA